AUUGAACGCUGGCGGCAGGCCUAACACAUGCAAGUCGAGCGGAUGAAGGGAGCUUGCUCCUGGAUUCAGCGGCGGACGGGUGAGUAAUGCCUAGGAAUCUGCCUGGUAGUGGGGGAUAACGUCCGGAAACGGGCGCUAAUACCGCAUACGUCCUGAGGGAGAAAGUGGGGGAUCUUCGGACCUCACGCUAUCAGAUGAGCCUAGGUCGGAUUAGCUAGUUGGUGAGGUAAAGGCCUACCAAGGCGACGAUCCGUAACUGGUCUGAGAGGAUGAUCAGUCACACUGGAACUGAGACACGGUCCAGACUCCUACGGGAGGCAGCAGUGGGGAAUAUUGGACAAUGGGCGAAAGCCUGAUGCAGCCAUGCCGCGUGUGUGAAGAAGGUCUUCGGAUUGUAAAGCACUUUAAGUUGGGAGGAAGGGCAGUAAGUUAAUACCUUGCUGUUUUGACGUUACCAACAGAAUAAGCACCGGCUAACUUCGUG
Molecule: ribosomal RNA, 484 nt
Filed under: uncultured bacterium
Lineage: Bacteria
Description: partial 16S ribosomal RNA
Rfam family: Bacterial small subunit ribosomal RNA
Source: RNAcentral